UCCAACAAAUUUGUCUGUCCCUCACAUUUUUAUUAAGCCAAAAAAAUUAAUAAAAAAACACUCCAAGUUUCAAAUAGUCCUUUCAUUGUCAUCUUCAAAGACCUACAUAAAAUCUUAGCAAUCAAUUCAUUCUCGAAGACAUGGCGGAAGUUCAAGCCUCAACUCUCAGUUUUUCUCAAAAUCAGAAAAAUCUCUCAAAUGCUCAUAAGAGAUACGGGUUACCUAAUUCCUAAGUGUUCUAUUACGAAUCAAAUUUUCUUAUUUCUAUGUGUUCUUGGUAUUUUCUUCAUAUUUUUUUCGUUCCUUUUACUGUAUUUAGUGUUGACACAUUUUCUAAUGGUCCCUAAAGCAGGUUUGUAAAUCUUAUGAAGGGACAUAUUCCGAUUGAAAGUGAAGCUCUUGGUAAGGGGUGAAUCUGCUAAAAAAAGACGUACCAGCUUUUGGAUUCUGAUGAUCACUCGCAUGUUUUUGAAGAAGAAUCGUCAGAACCCUUCUGAUUAUCGGGCUGAUAUUGCGCAUUAGGUAGAAUUGUUCUAAGUAGAUCGUCAUUCCAUUCUUCAUUCUCCUACUACCCCUGUUCAUCGUCCUGAAGUGGACUUGGAGUUGGCACUGAUGUACUGAUAGAUACCAUGCUCCAGUUCAUAAGUCAUAAAGUAAUCGAAAUAAUGGAGCACUUACAUUGAACUUGCACUCCAGAAGCUUCUCCCAAAUCCUAACAUAUGGAUUUUGGGAAACGUAACAACCAAAUUCUAACUUAUCAAUUGUUGUUAAAUAUUGCUGGUACUAGUAUUUAUAGGUACAUCAGUCUGGUGCGGCUGCUGCAAAUCAAGUAUUUGUUCUUGGGAUACAUAGGUGCAAAUAUUUAUUCUUUUUAUCUUCUAAUUCUCUGUUGAUACCAUGACAUUUUGGCACUGUAGUUACUGGAUAUUGAAACCGAAAUUGCAUCUUGGAUGUAACAACUAUAGUUGACGAAAUCUGUUGCAACCAAAAUUGCAUCAUGGAUCUUGUGUCUGUUGGUUAUAAAAUGGUUGUACAUAUUAUAGAAUAAGUUUACAGUAUAUACAGUAGAUUAUAGCGUGCACUGAACACAUCUGUUGCAUUUUACCAUUAUAAAUUAAUACUCUUAUAUAGCUGCAACAAUAUGCUAUAAUGCAGUUUUGAAAUUCCGAAAGAGCUGAGCUCUUUUAUAACUUCAUGUACUCAGAAAAUACAAGUUAUAAACUCAGAUUGCUUGAAUCCGCUUA
This is a long non-coding RNA of Solanum pennellii, 1244 nucleotides long. RefSeq lists it as uncharacterized. The record is from RefSeq and is a predicted model, not a curated record. The transcript is spliced from 3 exons. Lineage: Eukaryota; Viridiplantae; Streptophyta; Magnoliopsida; Solanales; Solanaceae.